RNAcentral lists this ribosomal RNA (469 nucleotides) under uncultured bacterium. RNAcentral's name for it is "bacterial SSU rRNA". It matches the Rfam family "Bacterial small subunit ribosomal RNA", at positions 335 to 802 of the family's 1533-position model. The record is from RNAcentral.
ACUCCUACGGGAGGCAGCAGUGGGGAAUAUUGCACAAUGGGCGCAAGCCUGAUGCAGCCAUGCCGCGUGUGUGAAGAAGGCCUUGGGUUGUAAAGCACUUUCAGUCGUGAGGAAGGUAGUGUAGUUAAUAGCUGCAUUAUUUGACGUUAGCGACAGAAGAAGCACCGGCUAACUCCGUGCCAGCAGCCGCGGUAAUACGGAGGGUGCGAGCGUUAAUCGGAAUUACUGGGCGUAAAGCGCAUGCAGGUGGUUUGUUAAGUCAGAUGUGAAAGCCCGGGGCUCAACCUCGGAAUAGCAUUUGAAACUGGCAGACUAGAGUACUGUAGAGGGGGUAGAAUUUCAGGUGUAGCGGUGAAAUGCGUAGAGAUCUGAAGGAUACCGGUGGCGAAGGCGGCCCCUGGACAGAUACUGACACUCAGAUGCGAAAGCGUGGGAGCAAACAGGAUUAGAUACCCCUGGUAGACUGUCA